RNAcentral lists this unclassified non-coding RNA (234 nucleotides) under plant metagenome. RNAcentral describes it as "partial contains small subunit ribosomal RNA, internal transcribed spacer 1, and 5.8S ribosomal RNA". The record is from RNAcentral.
UUUCCGUAGGUGAACCUGCGGAAGGAUCAUUAAAGUUAUAGUCCCCCGGCCCUCUGGGCUGGGGCCUUCUAUACCACCCUCUGUUUAUUACACCUUCGUUGCUUUGGCAGGCCUGCCCUCGGGCUGCUGGCUCCGGCCGGCUCGCGUCUGCCAGAGGACCUAAACUCUGUUUGUAUAUGAAGUCUGAGUACUAUAUAAUAGUUAAAACUUUCAACAACGGAUCUCUUGGUUCUG